This 571-nucleotide ribosomal RNA is filed under the name Trigonopterus tiga. RNAcentral's name for it is "SSU rRNA". It matches the Rfam family "Eukaryotic small subunit ribosomal RNA", at positions 30 to 579 of the family's 1831-position model. Lineage: Eukaryota; Metazoa; Arthropoda; Insecta; Coleoptera; Curculionidae. The record is from RNAcentral.
GCUUGUCUCAAAGAUUAAGCCAUGCAUGUCUCAGUACAAGCCAAAUUAAGGUGAAACCGCGAAAGGCUCAUUAAAUCAGUUAUGGUUCCUUAGGUCGUACCAACAAUUACUUGGAUAACUGUGGUAAUUCUAGAGCUAAUACAUGCAAACAGAGCUCCGACCGGAGACGGAAGGAGUGCUUUUAUUAGAUCAAAACCAAUCGGUGGCGGGUUCGCUCGUCAUCGUACAACUUGGUGACUCUGAAUAACUUUACGCUGAUCGCACGGUCAUCGCACCGGCGACGCAUCUUUCAAAUGUCUGCCUUAUCAACUGUCGAUGGUAGGUUCUGCGCCUACCAUGGUUGUAACGGGUAACGGGGAAUCAGGGUUCGAUUCCGGAGAGGGAGCCUGAGAAACGGCUACCACAUCCAAGGAAGGCAGCAGGCGCGCAAAUUACCCACUCCCGGCACGGGGAGGUAGUGACGAAAAAUAACGAUACGGGACUCAUCCGAGGCCCCGUAAUCGGAAUGAGUACACUCUAAACCCUUUAACGAGGAUCAAUUGGAGGGCAAGUCUGGUGCCAGCAGCCGCGG